GACGGAGGAUGCAAGCGUUAUCCGGAAUUAUUGGGCGUAAAGCGUCCGCAGGUGGACAUACAAGUCUGCUGUCAAAGUGCAGAGCUUAACUCUGUAAAGGCGGUGGAAACUGUAGGUCUUGAGUAUGGUAGGGGUAGAGGGAAUUCCCGGUGUAGCGGUGAAAUGCGUAGAUAUCGGGAAGAACACCAGUGGCGAAAGCGCUCUACUGGGCCGUAACUGACACUGAGGGACGAAAGCUAGGGGAGCGAAAGGG
RNAcentral lists this ribosomal RNA (253 nucleotides) under uncultured bacterium. Its description in RNAcentral is "partial 16S ribosomal RNA". It matches the Rfam family "Bacterial small subunit ribosomal RNA", at positions 524 to 776 of the family's 1533-position model. The record is from RNAcentral.